GACGAACGCUGGCGGUGUGCUUAACACAUGCAAGUCGAACGGUAAGGCCCUUUCGGGGGUACACGAGUGGCGAACGGGUGAGUAACACGUGAGUAACCUGCCCUCAUCUCUGGGAUAACAGUCGGAAACGGUUGCUAAUACUGGAUAUGAGCUUGCAAGGCAUCUUGUGGGUUGGAAAGAUUUUUUUGGUUGGGGAUGGACUCGCGGCCUAUCAGCUUGUUGGUGAGGUAGUGGCUCACCAAGGCUUCGACGGGUAGCCGGCCUGAGAGGGCGACCGGCCACAUUGGGACUGAGAUACGGCCCAAACUCCUACGGGAGGCAGCAGUGGGGAAGAUUGCACAAUGGACGGAAGUCUGAUGCAGCAACGCCGCGUGCGGGAUGACGGCCUUCGGGUUGUAAAACGCUUUCAAUUGUGACGAAGCUUUUUGUGACGGUAGCAGUAGAAGAAGCACCGGCUAACUACGUG
This 466-nucleotide ribosomal RNA is filed under the name uncultured bacterium. Its description in RNAcentral is "partial 16S ribosomal RNA". It matches the Rfam family "Bacterial small subunit ribosomal RNA", at positions 28 to 507 of the family's 1533-position model. The record is from RNAcentral.